GAUGAAGAACGCAGCGAAAUGCGAUAAGUAGUGUGAAUUGCAGAAUUCAGUGAAUCAUCGAAUCUUUGAACGCACAUUGCGCCCCUUGGUAUUCCAUGGGGCAUGCCUGUUCGAGCGUCAUUUGUACCUUCAAGCUUUGCUUGGUGUUGGGUGUUUGUCCCGAGGGACUCGCCUUAAAGUAAUUGGCAGCCAGUGUUUGGUUUUGAAGCGCAGCACAAGUCGCGAUUCAAGGCUACACGCCCGCUUCCACAAGCCUUUUUUCACUUUUGACCUCGGAUCAGGUAGGGAUACCCGCUGAACUUAAGCAUAUCAUAAGCGGAGGA
Molecule: unclassified non-coding RNA, 323 nt
Filed under: soil metagenome
Description: partial contains 5.8S ribosomal RNA, internal transcribed spacer 2, and large subunit ribosomal RNA
Rfam family: 5.8S ribosomal RNA (bases 1-120)
Source: RNAcentral